ACAUUUACAUUGACACUAUUUACAAAUGAAUUAUGCUAUGAAUGACUCGACCUUUAGUAGUGGAGUGACUCAGAAUGAAGUGCUAUGAGAUACCUUUACCUAUCUGCGGUGGAUAACAAAUGUCAAUGAAUGAAUGCUAGGCCGAUCACUAUUUUCAAAGGGAAUAUAAGGGGGUGAGUCUCACAGACUUAGUGAUCAUCAGCUCCUUGAGCAAGGCACAGAUGGGAAACACACUUAAAGCGGAUAAUUUGGAAGAUAAAAUUAGAAUAUAAAAUGGCAAGCUCAUAAAACNAGAAUAUAAAUAGGCAAGACUCAUAAACAUAUACCUAAUACCGUAUUGUGCCUUGAAAAAAAAAUAGUACUGUAAAAUCAUAAUGCAAUACUUCCCUUGGUAAGCAAUGCCGAAAACAAACGUAGCAUAUUAAAUUUCAAUCAUCAAAAUCAUCUUUUUCCAUCAAAAAUACAAAUAAUUGUAUAAAAGUACGCACGCUCCCAAAAUGUGUGGCAUGUAAAAAUCAGUGUGCACAUCCGCAUAAAUCAAGUCAUGAUCAAAUAUAAGCAUUGAAAGCUUUCAUUCAAAUAAGGGAGCUGUGGAAAAACAUUAACUCUCCACCAUGCAAAAGAGUACGAGUCUAAAAACUCUCAAGACUCUCGAGUAGGUAAUUAUAGAUAAUCAAUCCGUGGACUCUUUUCCAUGUAAUAAUAAUCCGGGAGGCCCUUCUCCACCGGAUUCCCACAGCCAUGGCCAUCUCAACAAUGUUAGUCGACAUCAGAGAAAUCAAGUGGCCACAACCACGUAUAUCAACUUGUGGCCUAGCCAUAUGUAUCAACCCGUGGCCUAGCCACAUCUAACAGCUCGUUGGUGACACAAAGGUUCUUUAGCAAGAGCUCACUUAUGCAUAGGGUUACACUAUUUUGAUGUGACAUUCGACCUACUAUCGAUGCUCUCUAUUUGUCAAAACUGUUUUUAAAACCAAAUCGAGGUAUCCAGAACUUUUGCUUUAAUCAUUUGAAAACAAGGUUCGAUAAGCUUUGAAAUUGCUUUUCACAUUAAAAUGCACAGUGUAAACAUUUGCGUAAAGUUUGUACUAAAAUUGGCUUUCAAAAAUUUGUAUUUAAACCACUUAACAAAUGCAUUUAUGUCACGACCCGGUAUUUCCCUCAAGCCCGUGACAACCGCCGUGACGUCCCGAUAGACAUUCAUUGCCCGGAAUGCCAACCGGAACCUUGCAAGGCUUUAAUAUCAAUUUUCACACCUCCCCUAUGAGCAACAGUUGUUAAGUAUCAUGUUUUGAGAGACUAUAAACUAUUUCCAAAUCAAAACAAUAGAAAAAUAAUUUUUUUCUCAUAGGGCAUUUUGGUCAUUUUUCUUAAAAAAUCUCAAAACCAGCUAAAAAUGUAGUAUGUUAGUGGAAAACACAUAUUUCAUAAUCAAAAAUAAGUUUAGAUAUCUAAAACAUUCAUUAAAAGUGAAAUGAUAGCGAUUAGAAUAAAAUAAAAUAUUGAAUAAAAUAUUCUAUUUUCUUAUAAAACAAUUUUUAUAGAGAUAUCCGUUAGUAAUUUUUGUAGCAUAAAAGCAAAAUAAAUUCGUACAUACAGUAACACAGAUAGUCAAGGUAUGUAAUUAAAUUUACAAUGACAUGUGGGCCCCCAAAUGACAAAAGUGAACGAAGGUUGUGAACCUACAGUUUUUGAAGAAGUAAUGCCAACUGUAGCCUUCGACGAUAUCAACUAUCUACAAACUAUCUUGAGCUUGAAAUGGGUGGAAAGGAGGGUGGUGAGAUUAUAUAAUCCCAGUGAGUAAACAAAUACCAUCUAAAAUAUCUAAAACUGAGUAAAUGGAGACAGAUAAAAUAGAUUAGCAUAAAAAUGAUCCAAAGCAUUUCGAACUCAUUUGAAUAAGAUAAAAUAGAUUCAUUUCACCAAAAUAAACAACGAGGCUUAUGAUUUCCUAAAAAAUUUGGCUCGUGCCAAAAUCAUUCUCAUACUCAGUUAUCAGGGAUACCUUGGCCUAGGGCUAUCCCAAUUGAGUCUGCUAAGGCUGUUAAAAAAACCAUGUACGCAUAAAUCAUGUUUUUAUUUUGAAAACAUAGCCGUUCCUUGGCAUUGGCUGAGUUCACCCUCACGUGGUGGUUUGGUGUGAAGUGAACUUUAAAGUUGUACCUCGGGAGUUACCCUACGCACCUCUCCAAUCGAGGUAAGAAUAUAACGGGGAUUCCAUGCCUCUCAAAAAGACUGGUCCAUAAAACCCGCCCACUGCAACAAGCUAAACCCACCGUACAAUAAAAUUUGCAAUAGCAUGACAUGGCAAUUAUUUUAUUUUACAGCCUCUCAAGGCAAAUCAACUGUUCAUACAUAUUCAGCACAUUUACCAAUUCAACCAUUCAUGCCAAUAUUAUCAUAAGCCAUUCAAUUCAAACCAUGAUUUAUAACACAGCAAUUAGUCUCCAAUUACUCCAUUUUCAAAACCAUCUUUCAAUUUCAACACAAUUUUAUAAAAUCAUUUCAUUUAAUCACAUUUUGCUUAUAAAACAUAAAGAUUUACCAUUUAAACUCAUUUUUUAUCAAAUUACAAAAAUGAAUAAAAACUACUUUAGAUAAUUAAGAGGAUAAUAAGGUUACUCACUAUUUCGGGAGUCGAAUUUCAAGUACUUCGAUAUCUGAUCCUCGGGUACUAUCUCUUUACUUUUGCCAGAAAGCUCACCACCUUGACAUAAUGCACAAUAACCCAUUUACUACAUUUGUGCUAAACCGUUGUAAAUCCAAUUCAGGCUUUAUACUAAUGCAUGAAAUGGAAUGCAAAUUGUUCAGAUUAUCGUCUAAAACACAGUGUUUUGCACAAAUUCAAUUAUGUACCUAAAUAAAACGGUAUUGGCCUAAUUCGAUCUAUCACUCGAUUAAUUGGCCCAUAUGUCCAAUUUAACUCCAAAUAAUUCCAUUUUUCUCCCAAUACUCCAAAUCAUCAAACAGAAAUUAAAUAAGUUGAAAUAUGGCAAAAUCAUCCUCACAUUUUCUCUUGGAAAAUUCUGCCAUGGAGGGUUCACUAACAAUAUAAUUUUUCAAGCUUGAUUCGCACACCAUAAAUCACUAAUUCCUAACCAAAUCACUUGAAAUAAAAUCAAAAUCAUCAUCAAUAUUCCACAUGAAGAAUUCGACCAAAGAGGGUUAUGGAAGAACAUGAAAUUUUCUUACUUGAUUUUCAUGCUACACAUCACUAACUAACUAAAAACACUAAAAUACAUUGAAAUCUAACCAAAUCAAGCAUCAAAAUCUCUCUCUAAGUGUUCGGCCAGCAAGUGACCCAUCAUGAUUUCAUGUGAUUCAACCAUGAAAAAUAAGAAAAAAUGCUUAAGAAAGAGAGAUCUCAAGCUUAAUUGAAAAAUCUUACCUUUCUUUCACUUGUUUCCUUGAAUUUUCACACUUUUUCCUUGAAUUUUUCCACCUAGGGUUUUGUUCUUCCUUUUCUUGCUUCUCCUUGGUGAGG
Molecule: long non-coding RNA, 3484 nt
Filed under: Theobroma cacao (cacao)
Lineage: Eukaryota; Viridiplantae; Streptophyta; Magnoliopsida; Malvales; Malvaceae
Description: long non-coding RNA (TCAC_LNC001809)
Source: RNAcentral